This 253-nucleotide ribosomal RNA is filed under the name uncultured bacterium. RNAcentral's name for it is "partial 16S ribosomal RNA". It matches the Rfam family "Bacterial small subunit ribosomal RNA", at positions 524 to 776 of the family's 1533-position model. The record is from RNAcentral.
GACGUAGGGCGCGAGCGUUGUCCGGAUUUAUUGGGCGUAAAGAGCUCGUAGGCGGCUUGUCGCGUCGUUCGUGAAAACCCACGGCUCAACUGUGGGCUUGCGGUCGAUACGGGCAGGCUGGAGUUCGGUAGGGGAGACUGGAAUUCCUGGUGUAGCGGUGAAAUGCGCAGAUAUCAGGAGGAACACCGGUGGCGAAGGCGGGUCUCUGGGCCGAUACUGACGCUGAGGAGCGAAAGCCAGGGGAGCAAACGGG